GGUUGUGUCUCAGUGGUAGAGUGCUCACCUAGCUAGGGCAAGGCCCUGAGUUCAAUCCUCAGCACCA
RNAcentral lists this transfer RNA (67 nucleotides) under Marmota monax (woodchuck). RNAcentral describes it as "tRNA.Ala". Lineage: Eukaryota; Metazoa; Chordata; Mammalia; Rodentia; Sciuridae. The record is from RNAcentral.